Molecule: ribosomal RNA, 489 nt
Filed under: Bacillus subtilis
Lineage: Bacteria; Bacillati; Bacillota; Bacilli; Caryophanales; Bacillaceae
Description: bacterial SSU rRNA
Rfam family: Bacterial small subunit ribosomal RNA
Source: RNAcentral
CUCCCUGAUGUUAGCGGCGGACGGGUGAGUAACACGUGGGUAACCUGCCUGUAAGACUGGGAUAACUCCGGGAAACCGGGGCUAAUACCGGAUGGUUGUUUGAACCGCAUGGUUCAAACAUAAAAGGUGGCUUCGGCUACCACUUACAGAUGGACCCGCGGCGCAUUAGCUAGUUGGUGAGGUAACGGCUCACCAAGGCAACGAUGCGUAGCCGACCUGAGAGGGUGAUCGGCCACACUGGGACUGAGACACGGCCCAGACUCCUACGGGAGGCAGCAGUAGGGAAUCUUCCGCAAUGGACGAAAGUCUGACGGAGCAACGCCGCGUGAGUGAUGAAGGUUUUCGGAUCGUAAAGCUCUGUUGUUAGGGAAGAACAAGUACCGUUCGAAUAGGGCGGUACCUUGACGGUACCUAACCAGAAAGCCACGGCUAACUACGUGCCAGCAGCCGCGGUAAUACGUAGGUGGCAAGCGUUGUCCGGAAUUAUUG